RNAcentral lists this ribosomal RNA (1519 nucleotides) under Burkholderia pseudomallei. Its description in RNAcentral is "bacterial LSU rRNA". It matches the Rfam family "Bacterial large subunit ribosomal RNA", at positions 1480 to 2925 of the family's 2925-position model. Lineage: Bacteria; Pseudomonadati; Pseudomonadota; Betaproteobacteria; Burkholderiales; Burkholderiaceae. The record is from RNAcentral.
UGCGCUAUUGCCGAUCGAGUCCUCAUCGGCGUUUCGGAUAGAUUUUCCGAGAAAGACCUUCCGCCCCACAUCUCCUCCAAUUUCCCGGGCAGUCACGCGUGCAUUGGAGAAGGCGCUUAGGCAAAUCCGGGCGCAGGAUUCAAGGGUGUGGCGCGAGCGCUCUAGGGCGCGAAGCAAUUGGAAGUGGUUCCAAGAAAAGCCUCUAAGCUUCAGUCUAACGAUGACCGUACCGCAAACCGACACAGGUGGGCGAGAUGAGUAUUCUAAGGCGCUUGAGAGAACUCGGGAGAAGGAACUCGGCAAAUUGGUACCGUAACUUCGGGAUAAGGUACGCCCUGGUAGCUUGACUGGCCUGCGCCAGAAGGGUGAAGGGGUUGCAAUAAACUGGUGGCUGCGACUGUUUAAUAAAAACACAGCACUCUGCAAACACGAAAGUGGACGUAUAGGGUGUGACGCCUGCCCGGUGCCGGAAGAUUAAAUGAUGGGGUGCAAGCUCUUGAUUGAAGUCCCGGUAAACGGCGGCCGUAACUAUAACGGUCCUAAGGUAGCGAAAUUCCUUGUCGGGUAAGUUCCGACCUGCACGAAUGGCGUAACGAUGGCCACACUGUCUCCUCCCGAGACUCAGCGAAGUUGAAGUGUUUGUGAUGAUGCAAUCUACCCGCGGCUAGACGGAAAGACCCCAUGAACCUUUACUGUAGCUUUGCAUUGGACUUUGAACCGAUCUGUGUAGGAUAGGUGGGAGGCUAUGAAACCGGAACGCUAGUUUCGGUGGAGCCGUCCUUGAAAUACCACCCUGGUUUGUUUGAGGUUCUAACCUUGGCCCGUGAUCCGGGUCGGGGACAGUGCAUGGUAGGCAGUUUGACUGGGGCGGUCUCCUCCCAAAGCGUAACGGAGGAGUACGAAGGUACGCUAGGUACGGUCGGAAAUCGUGCUGAUAGUGCAAUGGCAUAAGCGUGCUUAACUGCGAGACCGACAAGUCGAGCAGGUGCGAAAGCAGGUCAUAGUGAUCCGGUGGUUCUGUAUGGAAGGGCCAUCGCUCAACGGAUAAAAGGUACUCUGGGGAUAACAGGCUGAUACCGCCCAAGAGUUCAUAUCGACGGCGGUGUUUGGCACCUCGAUGUCGGCUCAUCUCAUCCUGGGGCUGUAGCCGGUCCCAAGGGUAUGGCUGUUCGCCAUUUAAAGAGGUACGUGAGCUGGGUUUAAAACGUCGUGAGACAGUUUGGUCCCUAUCUGCCGUGGGCGUUGGAAGUUUGAAGGGGGCUGCUCCUAGUACGAGAGGACCGGAGUGGACGAACCUCUGGUGUACCGGUUGUGACGCCAGUCGCAUCGCCGGGUAGCUAUGUUCGGAAGAGAUAACCGCUGAAAGCAUCUAAGCGGGAAACUCGCCUUAAGAUGAGACUUCCCCGGGGACUUGAUCCCCUUGAAGGGUCGUUCGAGACCAGGACGUUGAUAGGUCGGGUGUGUAAGCGCAGUAAUGCGUUCAGCUAACCGAUACUAAUUGCCCGUACGGCUUGAUCCU